RNAcentral lists this ribosomal RNA (497 nucleotides) under uncultured bacterium. RNAcentral's name for it is "partial 16S ribosomal RNA". It matches the Rfam family "Bacterial small subunit ribosomal RNA", at positions 28 to 507 of the family's 1533-position model. The record is from RNAcentral.
GACGAACGCUGGCGGCGUGCCUAAUACAUGCAAGUAGAACGCUGAAGAGAGGAGCUUGCUCUUCUUGGAUGAGUUGCGAACGGGUGAGUAACGCGUAGGUAACCUGCCUUGUAGCGGGGGAUAACUAUUGGAAACGAUAGCUAAUACCGCAUAACAAUGGAUGACACAUGUCAUUUAUUUGAAAGGGGCAAUUGCUCCACUACAAGAUGGACCUGCGUUGUAUUAGCUAGUAGGUGAGGUAAUGGCUCACCUAGGCGACGAUACAUAGCCGACCUGAGAGGGUGAUCGGCCACACUGGGACUGAGACACGGCCCAGACUCCUACGGGAGGCAGCAGUAGGGAAUCUUCGGCAAUAGGGGCAACCCUGACCGAGCAACGCCGCGUGAGUGAAGAAGGGUUUCGGAUCGUAAAGCUCUGUUGUAAGUCAAGAACGGGUGUGAGAGUGGAAAGUUCACACUGUGACGGUAGCUUACCAGAAAGGGACGGCUAACUACGUG